Molecule: ribosomal RNA, 253 nt
Filed under: uncultured bacterium
Lineage: Bacteria
Description: partial 16S ribosomal RNA
Rfam family: Bacterial small subunit ribosomal RNA
Source: RNAcentral
UACGUAGGGUGCAAGCGUUGUCCGGAAUUAUUGGGCGUAAAGAGCUCGUAGGCGGCUUGUCGCGUCGGCUGUGAAAACCUGAGGCUCAACCUCGGGCCUGCAGCCGAUACGGGCAAGCUAGAAUUCGGUAGGGGAGACUGGAAUUCCUGGUGUAGCGGUGAAAUGCGCAGAUAUCAGGAGGAACACCCAUGGCGAAGGCAGCAAGCUGGGCGACACCUGACGCUGAGGCGCGAAAGCGUGGGUAGCAAACAGG